RNAcentral lists this ribosomal RNA (434 nucleotides) under uncultured bacterium. RNAcentral describes it as "bacterial SSU rRNA". It matches the Rfam family "Bacterial small subunit ribosomal RNA", at positions 29 to 506 of the family's 1533-position model. The record is from RNAcentral.
AUGAAUGCUGGCGGCGUGGAUAAGGCAUGCAAGUCAAGGGGGCCCGCAAGGGCAACCGGCAGACGAGGUAGUAACACGUAGGUACUCCCCUCGAAGUCUGGAAUAGCUCACCGAAAGGUGAGGUAAUACCGGAUGGUCUCGAGAGAGUAAAGAUUUAUCGCUUCGAGAGAGGCCUGCGUAAUAUCAGCUUGUUGGUGAGGUAACGGCUCACCAAGGCUACGACGUUUAGGGGAACUGAGAGGUUGACCCCCACCGAUGGGACUGAGACACGGCCCAUACUCCUACGGGAGGCUGCAGUCAAGAAACUUCCGCAAUGGGCGAAAGCCUGACGGAGCGACGCCGCGUGCUGGAUGAAGUGCUUCGGUACGUAAACAGCUUUUAUGUGGGACGAAAUUAUUGACGGUACCACAUGAAUAAGGGGCUCCUAACUCUGU